RNAcentral lists this ribosomal RNA (463 nucleotides) under uncultured bacterium. RNAcentral's name for it is "bacterial SSU rRNA". It matches the Rfam family "Bacterial small subunit ribosomal RNA", at positions 340 to 789 of the family's 1533-position model. The record is from RNAcentral.
UACGGGAGGCAGCAGUGGGGAAUAUUGCACAAUGGGCGAAAGCCUGAUGCAGCUAUGCCGCGUGUAUGAAGAAGGCCUUAGGGUUGUAAAGUACUUUCAUCGGGGAGGAAAAAACAAAACUAAUAAUUUUAUUUCUUGACGUUACCCGAAAAAGAAGCACCGGCUAACUCCGUGCCAGCAGCCGCGGUAAUACGGAGGGUGCUAGCGUUAAUCAGAAUUACUGGGCGUAAAGAGCACGUAGGUGGUUUUUUUAAGUCAGAUGUGAAAUCCCCUGGGGCUUAACCUAGGAACUGCAUUUUUGAAACUGAAAUACUAGAGUAUCGUAGAGGGAGGUAGAAUUCUAGGUGUAGCGGUGAAAUGCGUAGAUAUCUGGAGGAAUACCUGUGGGGAAAGCGGCCUCCUAAACGAAUACUGACACUGAGGGUGCGAAAGCGUGGGGAGCAAACAGGGAUUAGAUACCCGU